UUCCUACGGGAGGCAGCAGUGGGGAAUAUUGCACAAUGGGGGAAACCCUGAUGCAGCGACGCCGCGUGAGUGAGGAAGUAUUUCGGUAUGUAAAGCUCUAUCAGCAGGGAAGAAAAAAUGACGGUACCUGACUAAGAAGCACCGGCUAAAUACGUGCCAGCAGCCGCGGUAAUACGUAUGGUGCAAGCGUUAUCCGGAUUUACUGGGUGUAAAGGGAGCGUAGACGGCAUGGCAAGUCUGAAGUGAAAGCCCGGGGCUCAACCGCGGGACUGCUUUGGAAACUGUUAAGCUGGAGUGCAGGAGAG
RNAcentral lists this ribosomal RNA (305 nucleotides) under uncultured bacterium. RNAcentral describes it as "bacterial SSU rRNA". It matches the Rfam family "Bacterial small subunit ribosomal RNA", at positions 336 to 656 of the family's 1533-position model. The record is from RNAcentral.